ACACUGGGACUGAGACACUGCCCAGACUCCUACGGGAGGCCGCAGUCGAGAAUCUUCGGCAAUGGGCGCAAGCCUGACCGAGCGACGCCGCGUGGAGGACGAAGGCCUUCGGGUUGUAAAGCUCUGUGGGGAGGGACGAAAGACUGAGGUCUAAUAGGCUUCAGGUUGACGGUACCUCCUUAGCAAGCACCGGCUAACUCCGUGCCAGCAGCCGCGGUAAUACGGAGGGGGCUAGCGUUGUUCGGAAUUACUGGGCGUAAAGCGCACGUAGGCGGCUUUGUAAGUUAGAGGUGAAAGCCCGGGGCUCAACCCCGGAAUUGCCUUUAAGACUGCAUCGCUUGAACGUCGGAGAGGUGAGUGGAAUUCCGAGUGUAGAGGUGAAAUUCGUAGAUAUUCCGGAAGAACACCAUUGCCAAGGCGGCUCACUGGACGACUGUUGACGCUGAGGUGCGAAAGCGUGGGGAGCAAACAGAUUAGAUACCCUGCUAGUCCACGCCGUAAACGAUGAUAACUAGCUGUCUGGGCUCUUGGAGCUAAGUGGCGCAGCUAACCCAUUAAGUUAUUCGCCUGGGAGUACGGCCGCAAGUAAA
RNAcentral lists this ribosomal RNA (590 nucleotides) under uncultured bacterium. RNAcentral describes it as "bacterial SSU rRNA". It matches the Rfam family "Bacterial small subunit ribosomal RNA", at positions 310 to 898 of the family's 1533-position model. The record is from RNAcentral.